CAUAGGUUAAUGAGGCGAACCGGGGGAACUGAAACAUCUAAGUACCCCGAGGAAAAGAAAUCAACCGAGAUUCCCCCAGUAGCGGCGAGCGAACGGGGAGGAGCCCAGAGCCUGAAUCAGCAUGUGUGUUAGUGGAAGCGUCUGGAAAGGCGCGCGAUACAGGGUGACAGCCCCGUACACAAAAGCGCAUGUGCUGUGAGCUCGAUGAGUAGGGCGGGACACGUGGUAUCCUGUCUGAAUAUGGGGGGACCAUCCUCCAAGGCUAAAUACUCCUGACUGACCGAUAGUGAACCAGUACCGUGAGGGAAAGGCGAAAAGAACCCCGGCGAGGGGAGUGAAAAAGAACCUGAAACCGUGUACGUACAAGCAGUGGGAGCACAGGUUUACCUGUGUGACUGCGUACCUUUUGUAUAAUGGGUCAGCGACUUAUAUUCUGUAGCAAGGUUAACCGAAUAGGGGAGCCGGAGGGAAACCGAGUCU
RNAcentral lists this ribosomal RNA (480 nucleotides) under Salmonella enterica subsp. enterica serovar Reading. RNAcentral describes it as "partial 23S ribosomal RNA". It matches the Rfam family "Bacterial large subunit ribosomal RNA", at positions 165 to 684 of the family's 2925-position model. The record is from RNAcentral. Lineage: Bacteria; Pseudomonadati; Pseudomonadota; Gammaproteobacteria; Enterobacterales; Enterobacteriaceae.